UCCAAUGGGGUGUCCAAUCGA
Molecule: non-coding RNA, 21 nt
Filed under: Caenorhabditis elegans
Lineage: Eukaryota; Metazoa; Nematoda; Chromadorea; Rhabditida; Rhabditidae
Source: RNAcentral